RNAcentral lists this ribosomal RNA (243 nucleotides) under uncultured bacterium. RNAcentral describes it as "partial 16S ribosomal RNA". It matches the Rfam family "Bacterial small subunit ribosomal RNA", at positions 63 to 334 of the family's 1533-position model. The record is from RNAcentral.
CGAACGAACCCUUCGGGGUUAGUGGCGCACGGGUGCGUAACGCGUGGGAACCUACCUUUAGGUUCGGAAUAACUCAGAGAAAUUUGAGCUAAUACCGAAUAAUGUCUUCGGACCAAAGAUUUAUCGCCUUUAGAUGGGCCCGCGUUAGAUUAGUUAGUUGGUGGGGUAAUGGCCUACCAAGACGACGAUCUGUAGCUGGUCUGAGAGGAUGAUCAGCCACACUGGGACUGAGACACGGCCCAG